UGCGUAGGUGGUGAGUUAAGUCUGUCGUGAAAGCCCCGGGCUCAACCUGGGAAUGGCGAUGGAUACUGGCUCGCUAGAGUGCGGUAGAGGAGAGUGGAAUUCCCGGUGUAGCAGUGAAAUGCGUAGAGAUCGGGAGGAACAUCAGUUGCGAAGGCGGCUCUCUGGACCAGCACUGACACUGAGGCACGAAAGCGUGGGGAGCAAACA
This 207-nucleotide ribosomal RNA is filed under the name uncultured bacterium. RNAcentral describes it as "partial 16S ribosomal RNA". It matches the Rfam family "Bacterial small subunit ribosomal RNA", at positions 568 to 774 of the family's 1533-position model. The record is from RNAcentral.